Molecule: ribosomal RNA, 500 nt
Filed under: uncultured Glomeromycotina
Lineage: Eukaryota; Fungi; Glomeromycota
Description: partial small subunit ribosomal RNA
Rfam family: Eukaryotic small subunit ribosomal RNA
Source: RNAcentral
CCAAUAGCGUAUAUUAAAGUUGUUGCAGUUAAAAAGCUCGUAGUUGAGUUUCGGGAUCAAUUUAUCGGUCGUGCCAACGGUAUGAACUGGUACAAUUGGUUUCUCCCUUCUGAUGAAGCACGAUGUCAUUAACUUGGUGUCAUGGGGAAUCAGGACUGUUACUUUGAAAAAAUUAGAGUGUUUAAAGCAGGCUUUAGGCUUGAAUACAUUAGCAUGGAAUAAUGAAAUAGGACGUUUGAUCCUAUUUCGUUGGUUUCUAGGAUCGACGUAAUGAUUAAUAGGGAUAGUUGGGGGCAUUAGCAUUCAAUUGUCAGAGGUGAAAUUCUUGGAUUUAUUGAAGACUAACUACUGCGAAAGCAUUUGCCAAGGAUGUUUUCAUUAAUCAAGAACGAAAGUUAGGGGAUCGAAGACGAUCAGAUACCGUCGUAGUCUUAACCAUAAACUAUGCCGACUAGGGAUCGGAUGAUGUUUUUUUUAAUGACUCAUUCGGCGCCUUACGG